UUGAACGCUGGCGGCAGGCCUAACACAUGCCAGUCGAGCGGAUGAAGGGAGCUUGCUCCUGGAUUCAGCGGCGGACGGGUGAGUAAUGCCUAGGAAUCUGCCUGGUAGUGGGGGAUAACGUCCGGAAACGGGCGCUAAUACCGCAUACGUCCUGAGGGAGAAAGUGGGGGAUCUUCGGACCUCACGCUAUCAGAUGAGCCUAGGUCGGAUUAGCUAGUUGGUGGGGUAAAGGCCUACCAAGGCGACGAUCCGUAACUGGUCUGAGAGGAUGAUCAGUCACACUGGAACUGAGACACGGUCCAGACUCCUACGGGAGGCAACAGUGGGGAAUAUUGGACAAUGGGCGAAAGCCUGAUCCAGCCAUGCCGCGUGUGUGAAGAAGAUCUUCGGAUUGUAAAGCACUUUAAGUUGGGAGGAAGGGAAGUAAGUUAAUACCUUGCUGUUUUGACGUUACCAACAGAAUAAGCACCGGCUAACUUCGUG
This 483-nucleotide ribosomal RNA is filed under the name uncultured bacterium. RNAcentral's name for it is "partial 16S ribosomal RNA". It matches the Rfam family "Bacterial small subunit ribosomal RNA", at positions 30 to 507 of the family's 1533-position model. The record is from RNAcentral.